UUAAAGGGCGCGGUAAUUUGACCGUGCGAAGGUAGCAUAAUCAUUAGUUUUUUAAUUGGAAGCUUGUAUGAAAGGUCGGAUGAGGGGUAAGCUGUCUCUUUGUAAACUUUGAAAUUUAACUUUUAAGUGAAAAGGCUUAAAUUUUAUAAGGUGACGAUAAGACCCUAUAAAACUUUAUAUGGUUGUUUUCAUUUUAAGAAUUUGUAAUUUAAUUGUAAAGGUUUAUAUUUUGUUGGGGAGACAUAGAUAUAAUAAAUAAUAACUGUCUAUAUUAAUAAAAUAAGUAUAAGAAGCUCGUGAUCCUUUAUUGGAGAUUAUAAGAUUAAGUUACUUUAGGGAUAACAGCGUGAUUUUCUUUGAGAGUUCUUAUCGACGGGAAUAGUUGCGACCUCGAUGUUGAAUUAAAAUUUCCUUGGGGUGUAGCAGCUCUUAAGGUGGGUCUGUUCGACCUUUAAUAUUUU
RNAcentral lists this ribosomal RNA (461 nucleotides) under Actinimenes sp. PP-2020. RNAcentral describes it as "partial large subunit ribosomal RNA". It matches the Rfam family "Bacterial large subunit ribosomal RNA", at positions 1924 to 2597 of the family's 2925-position model. Lineage: Eukaryota; Metazoa; Arthropoda; Malacostraca; Decapoda; Palaemonidae. The record is from RNAcentral.